UAUGUGAUCGUCUCUCGCAUAUCAAUAAGCGGAGGAAAAGAAACUAACAAGGAUUCCCUUAGUAACGGCGAGUGAAGCGGGAAGAGCUCAAAUUUGAAAUCUUCAAGGUUUUACCUUGACGAAUUGUAGUUUAAAGAAGUGUUUUCUGUUGAAGUUUUGGUAAAAGUUCUUUGGAAUAGGACAUCAUAGAGGGUGAGAAUCCCGUAUUUGACCAUUAUUUUCAGCUGUGUGAUACACUUUCAAAGAGUCGGAUUGUUUGGGAAUGCAGUCCAAAAUGGGUGGUAAAUUUCAUCUAAAGCUAAAUAUUGGCGAGAGACCGAUAGCGAACAAGUACCGUGAGGGAAAGAUGAAAAGAACUUUGAAAAGAGAGUUAAACAGUACGUGAAAUUGUCAAAAGGGAAGCGUUUGACACCAGUGUUGUUUUCUCGAAAAUCAAUUAAAAAGAGUUUGAUUUUGUUGUGUAUUGACCUUAACAGCUUGCAUUUCAAUUUUCUUGCUUUUUUUAAUGCACUUUUCGUUUAACAAGUCAACAUCAGUUUCUUUUGUUGUAAAAAGGUCAUUGGAAGGUGGCUUUCUUUUCGGAGAAAGUGUUUAUAGCCUUUGACUCCUGCAAUCGGAGAGACUGAGGUCUGCAGCGUAGAUCCUUCGGGGUUAGAUACAUUUGUGCUAAGUUAUAGCUUUUUAUAGACAACUUGUUGACUAUGAUUAGUCUUGUAGCUUACUCGCUUAUGCUAUUUUACCUACGCUUAGGAUGUUGAAGAUGUAGCACAUCAU
Molecule: ribosomal RNA, 774 nt
Filed under: uncultured Neocallimastigales
Lineage: Eukaryota; Fungi; Neocallimastigomycota; Neocallimastigomycetes; Neocallimastigales
Description: partial large subunit ribosomal RNA
Rfam family: Eukaryotic large subunit ribosomal RNA
Source: RNAcentral